This 478-nucleotide ribosomal RNA is filed under the name uncultured bacterium. RNAcentral's name for it is "partial 16S ribosomal RNA". It matches the Rfam family "Bacterial small subunit ribosomal RNA", at positions 28 to 523 of the family's 1533-position model. The record is from RNAcentral.
GACGAACGCUGGCGGCGUGCUUAACACAUGCAAGUCGAACGGUAAGGCCCUUCGGGGUACACGAGUGGCGAACGGGUGAGUAACACGUGGGUGAUCUGCCCUGCACUUCGGGAUAAGCCUGGGAAACUGGGUCUAAUACCGGAUAGGACUCCUGCCUGCAUGGGUGGGGGUGGAAAGCUUUUGCGGUGUGGGAUGGGCCCGCGGCCUAUCAGCUCGUUGGUGGGGUGAUGGCCUACCAAGGCGACGACGGGUAGCCGGCCUGAGAGGGUGACCGGCCACACUGGGACUGAGAUACGGCCCAGACUCCUACGGGAGGCAGCAGUGGGGAAUAUCGCACAAUGGGCGCAAGCCUGAUGCAGCGACGCCGCGUGAGGGAUGACGGCCUUCGGGCUGUAAACCUCUUUCAGCACAGACGAAGCGCAAGUGACGGUAUGUGCAGAAGAAGGACCGGCCAACUACGUGCCAGCCGCCGCCGUAA